Molecule: RNA transcript, 4388 nt
Organism: Cucumis sativus (cucumber)
Lineage: Eukaryota; Viridiplantae; Streptophyta; Magnoliopsida; Cucurbitales; Cucurbitaceae
Exons: 4
Source: RefSeq, a predicted model, not a curated record
UUCUCUCUCUCUCUCUCUCUCUCUCUCUCUCUGCAAUUUUUCAAUUCAUCCAUUUCUCUCUCUCAACUCAUCAUCUUCCUUCUUCAUUUUCAGUUCUUCCAUUCUUCUUUUGCUUCUCCAACUCUCACUCUCAGCCGCCGGCGACGGUUUUUUCCUUUUUCACGAUGAUGCUCCAGAGUUCUAGUAUUGUGCGAUUAUCGGAGCGGAGUACGAGAAUUGAGCUUUUGGUUUUGUAAAUGAAUGUAUGCGAAUCUUUGUUGUGAUUACAAAUUGGGUUUUGUUAUUGUGAUUGAUGGCUUCCACUAACUCACCGCCCAACAUUGAUGCUUCGACGUUGACGGAGGAUUUAGCGACCAAAGCUUUGAAUAAACGGUAUGAAUGCCUUGUAACUGUUCGAACAAAGGCUAUUAAAGGGAAAGGGGCUUGGUAUUGGGCUCAUUUAGAGCCUGUUCUUAUACGGAAUCCAACUAAUAGUCUUCCCAAAGCGGUGAAGCUCAAGUGUUCGUUGUGUGAUUCUGUUUUUUCGGCUUCGAAUCCGUCAAGGACUGCAUCUGAGCAUUUGAAACGAGGGACUUGUCCUAAUUUGAGUUCAAUUUCUCGGUCUAUUGCUUCGGCUGCGUCUCCGUUGCCGAUAUCGUCUAUUCCUUCUCCGACAUUGCACAACCACAAAAAACGGAGCUCUCAAAUGAAUGCUCCAAUUCUUACUGCUUCUUAUCAAGUUCAUUCUCUUGCCAUGAUUGAGCCAACGCGUUCGUAUGCUCCGUUAAUUUCCUCUCCGCCGACACCAGGGGCUCAAAAUUCGGUUGGGAUGGCGAGUAAGAUGGGGUUUAAUCAGCAUCAGUUGGUGUUGUCAGGUGGGAAAGACGAUUUGGGUGCGUUAGAAAUGCUGGAAAACAGUGUCAAGAAACUCAAGAGUCCGCAUGCUUCACCUGGGCCAAGGCUAAGUAAGGAACAAAUCGAUUCUGCUAUUGAAUUACUGACUGACUGGUUUAUUGAGUCAUGUGGGUCAGUUUCACUUUCAUGCUUUGACCACCCCAAGUUUAAGGCCUUGCUUAGUCAAUUGGGUUUGCCUUCAUUACCUAGAACCGACAUUUUAGGAGCUCGGCUUGACUCCAAGUUUGAAGAGGCCAAGGCUGAUUCAGAAGCCAGGAUUAGAGAUGCAGCGUUUUUUCAAAUUGCUUCAGAUGGGUGGAAGAAUAAGAACUGCUGUGAUGAAGAGAGUGUUGUUAAAUUUAUGGUCAAUCUACCAAAUGGUACUACUGUAUUUCAAAAAGCACUAUUUACAGGGGGAUUGGUAUCAUCCAAGUAUGCAGAAGAGGUUAUUUUGGAUACGGUCAACGAGAUUUGUGGAAGUGGUUUGCAGAAAUGUGUGGGGAUAAUUGCAGAUAGGUAUAAGGCCAAGGCGUUGAGGAAUUUGGAGAUAAAGAAUCAUUGGAUGGUAAAUCUCUCUUGCCAGCUUCAGGGUUUUAUUAGUUUGAUAAAGGAUUUUAACAAAGAGCUUCCACUUUUCAGGGCAGUCACUGAAAAUUGCUUGAAGGUUGCAAAUUUUGUAAACACCAAAUCUCAAGUUAGAAACUGUAUAAACAAGUACAAGGUGCAGGAGCUAGAGGGUCAUUGGUUGCUUCAUGUUCCUUCUCCAAACUGUGACACAUCCAAAAACUUUUCACCUGUUUAUUCUAUGCUUGAUGAUAUGCUUAACUGCGCUCAUGUGCUUCAAAUGGUUGUGUUAGACGAGUCCUAUAAGGUGGCAUGCAUGGAGGAUUCACUUGCUACUGAGGUUUCUAGUUUGAUACAAAAUGAACGCUUUUGGGAUGAAUUGGAGGCAGUUCAUUCAUUUGUGAAGAUGAUACGCGUGAUGGCUCAAGAGAUUGAAGCAGAACGGCCACUGAUUGGGCAAUGCUUGCCACUCUGGGAGGAGCUGAGAACAAAAGUGAAGGAAUGGUGUGUUAAGUUCAGCAUAGCUGAAGAGCCAGUGGAAAAAAUUGUAGAAAAGAGGUUUAGGAAAAAUUAUCAUCCAGCAUGGUCAACUGCAUUUAUACUAGACCCGCUUUACUUGAGGAGGGACAUGAAUGGGAAGUAUCUUCCACCCUUCAAGUGCCUUUCACAAGAGCAGGAAAAGGAUGUGGAUUCACUUAUCAAUCGGUUAGUGUCAAGGGAAGAAGCUCAUCUUGCAUUCAUGGAGCUUAUGAAAUGGAGAUCUGAAGGGUUAGAUCCACUUUAUGCUCAGGCAGUUCAGGUUAAACAAAGAGACCCUUUAACUGGAAAGAUGAAAAUUGCCAACCCACAGAGUAGGCGACUUGUCUGGGAAACUUGCUUAAGCGGGUUUAAAACCCUCGGCAAGGUUGCACUGAGGCUCAUUUUCCUCCACUCAACAUCUUGUGGCUUUAAGUGUAAAUGUUCUAUCAUGAAUUUGGUUUGCUCAAAUCGGCACUCGAGGGUCGGCUUGGAGAGAGCUCAGAAGAUGGUAUUUGUUGCAGCUCAUGCCAAACUUGAAAGAGGAGACUUUUCUAACGAGGAAGACAAAGAUGCAGAACUAUUUGCAAUGGCAGAUGGUGAAAAUGACAUGCUCAAUGAGGUCUUUUCUGAUGCACCCUCAAUUAAAGUGGUGGAUGUGUUUGAUCAAACCGAACCAGAGCUGUCAGGAGUCAACCUCGGACUAGGUACCAUAUCUUUGCAGCUGAAGAUGCACUUGGCUGAUAGAAUCCCAGAUAUAUCUCCUGUUUUGCCUACUUAUGUCACUUUUUGAGCCCCACUGUUUGGAGUGGAUGUCUAUCUCAAUGCUGUUGUAGAUGUCAUAGUCAAAGAAAAGACAUUUACAAGUUUUGCAGAUUUAUUGGUUAGCAUUGGCAUGAUUGCUAAAAAAGUCUUGAGCAAAGGGCAAGCAAGAAGGGCUGUCGGCAUGAGUAUGCACAUAACAAGGUCGAAAGGGAUGUAGCAACGAACUUGAAUUGAUGUUGCAUGUAUGGCUCAGAAAACAACUUUGACAACACAAAGCAGGUUGAAAUGGAGGAGGUUCUAGAUCUCAAAGGAGCCAUUAUGCUAAAUUUGCCAAGUUACCUUUUAAUGAUGGUAAGAAUAAAAGCUAAACUUUUUAAUGGUUUAUCUGGUCCUACCUUUCUUAUAAUUGUGUAUUGAGCAUCCUCUGGCUAUCUCUUCCUCGCUAAAAAAGAAAGUUAGAUACCAUUUACCAUUUAGGUGUGCUGAGUCUUGGUUUAACCCAUAGUCACUGUUAGUAUUGGGAAUGAUGUCAUAAGCUAAGCUUGUCGGCUUGGCCAAGUUGUAUGCCAUUGGCAUCCCAAUCUGGUACACCUGAAAGUGUUCUUUCUCCCCACAUUCACAAAAUCAAUGCUUAAAAAGAAUAUAAAAGUAGAUGUAGUCUUUUAGUUUUUGAAAACAGUAACUACAUUUUGUUCCAAUUGAUGCAUAAGAUGGGGCAGUAAUGAAAGGUUCAAAGCUGAGAGAGGAUUAGAUGAGAAAAAUGUAAAAAACUUGGCAAUAUUUGUUUGUACAUUUGUAGAUAUGAUGUAUUAUUAGGUCUUCAUUGCUCUUAAAUUACAAUAAAUUUUCUUCAACGUUUACCAAUGAGAGAAAGAUUGUCCUAGUAGGUCUUCUUCUUCCAUUAAAGAAUAAACCAAAAAAAACACAUUGCUCCCCUCAUUUCUAGGGAUAUCAAUAAAGUUCAUUGACCCACAUUCACUCUCUUUUCUUUUAAUCAUGGGUCUCAAGAUUUACCUUCAUUACACACGCACUCCACUACAAAUUGACUUACCAUCAAAUAGAUUGGGGUGUGAAAAACGAUAACAAAUAAUAGACUGCUUUGGCCUAUUUUGAAAAUAUACCAAUCAAACCCAAAUAUUUACAAGUAUAGCACGUUGCAAAAGAAUUUGCAGCUUCAGUAAAAUAUUGAUCUAGUUCUUGAAGUUUAAUAGUGAUAGACCUUCCAUCGUCAAUAGUUGUUAUUUUUUAAUUCUUAAAAAAUGUUAUUAUAGACUUGAUUAUUAUUUUUGAAAGUAUUAUCCGUAAUUAUGAUGGCUUUGAGAGGUUGAUGGUUGGAAUUACAUUCUGCCAUGGCUGUAGUGAUGAAGUUUUAAAUUUACUGACUUGGCUUUGGGAUUCAAUGAUGGUGGAAUGUAUGUGGAUUUUGUCGGCAAUGUCAGACAAUGGUGACUGCUCACCAACUAGAGAAGAAAGCUUUAUUAUUAUUAUUAUUAUUAUUAUUAUUAUUGUUAUUAUUAUCAUUAUACUUUUCUUAUUCACUUUUUAGUAUGCUUAUUAAAAUGUCAUUCCACUCAUUGUUGUUAUUGUUAAAGGGAAAGUAGAUAUAAUUAUUUGUACACAGGACACACUCUUUUCUACAAGGAAUCUUCACCCUUUGAAUUGCUCAUCAA